UAGCGAGUUAAGAAAACGCCACACUUUGA
This 29-nucleotide non-coding RNA is filed under the name Homo sapiens (human). Lineage: Eukaryota; Metazoa; Chordata; Mammalia; Primates; Hominidae. The record is from RNAcentral.